CAGCUUAAUAGUCAAAUAAAUGAUUUUAAAUUGCAAGUUUAAAGGUAAGUAGUUUUUUAGGCU
This 63-nucleotide transfer RNA is filed under the name Coleoptera sp. ACP-2013. RNAcentral's name for it is "tRNA-Cys". Lineage: Eukaryota; Metazoa; Arthropoda; Insecta; Coleoptera. The record is from RNAcentral.